Molecule: ribosomal RNA, 897 nt
Filed under: Ophiocordyceps stylophora
Lineage: Eukaryota; Fungi; Ascomycota; Sordariomycetes; Hypocreales; Ophiocordycipitaceae
Also listed under: 1 other name
Description: LSU rRNA
Rfam family: Eukaryotic large subunit ribosomal RNA
Source: RNAcentral
AUAUCAAUAAGCGGAGGAAAAGAAACCAACAGGGAUUGCCCCAGUAACGGCGAGUGAAGCGGCAACAGCUCAAAUUUGAAAUCUGGCCCCCGCCGCGGGGCCCGAGUUGUAAUUUGCAGAGGAUGCUUUUGGCGCGGCGCCUUCCGAGUUCCCUGGAACGGGACGCCAUAGAGGGUGAGAGCCCCGUCUGGUCGGACGCCCAGCCUCUGUAAAGCUCCCUCGACGAGUCGAGUAGUUUGGGAAUGCUGCUCAAAACGGGAGGUAUAUGUCUUCUAAAGCUAAAUAUUGGCCAGAGACCGAUAGCGCACAAGUAGAGUGAUCGAAAGAUGAAAAGCACUUUGAAAAGAGGGUUAAACAGUACGUGAAAUUGUUGAAAGGGAAGCGCUUGUGACCAGACUUGGGCGCGGCGAAUCAUCCGGCGUUCUCGCCGGUGCACUUCGCCGGGCCCGGGCCAGCAUCGGUUCGCGGCGGGGGACAAAGGCGCCGGGAACGUGGCUCCCCCGGGAGUGUUAUAGCCCGGCGCGCAAUGCCCCGCGGCGGACCGAGGUUCGCGCAUCCGCAAGGAUGCUGGCGUAAUGGUCACCAGUGACCCGUCUUGAAACACGGACCAAGGAGUCGUCCUCGUAUGCGAGUGUUCGGGUGUCAAACCCCUACGCGCAAUGAAAGUGAACGCAGGUGAGAGCCUCGGCGCAUCAUCGACCGAUCCUGAUGUUCUCGGAUGGAUUUGAGUAAGAGCAUACGGGGCCGGACCCGAAAGAAGGUGAACUAUGCCUGUGUAGGGUGAAGCCAGAGGAAACUCUGGUGGAGGCUCGCAGCGGUUCUGACGUGCAAAUCGAUCGUCAAACAUGGGCAUGGGGGCGAAAGACUAAUCGAACCUUCUAGUAGCUGGUUUCCGCC